Molecule: ribosomal RNA, 252 nt
Filed under: uncultured bacterium
Lineage: Bacteria
Description: partial 16S ribosomal RNA
Rfam family: Bacterial small subunit ribosomal RNA
Source: RNAcentral
ACGGAGACUGCAAGCGUUACUCGGAUUUACUGGGCGUAAAGGGUCCGUAGGCGGCCGUGUGUGUCGGGUGUGAAAUCCUGCAGCUUAACUGCAGAACUGCGCCCGAAACUAUACGGCUAGAGUAUUGGAGAGGUGAGUGGAAUUCCAGGUGUAGCGGUGAAAUGCGUAGAUAUCUGGAGGAACACCAACGGCGAAGGCAGCUCACUGGACAAUUACUGACGCUGAGGGACGAAAGCGUGGGGAGCAAAAGGG